RNAcentral lists this ribosomal RNA (502 nucleotides) under uncultured bacterium. RNAcentral's name for it is "partial 16S ribosomal RNA". It matches the Rfam family "Bacterial small subunit ribosomal RNA", at positions 28 to 523 of the family's 1533-position model. The record is from RNAcentral.
GAUGAACGCUAGCGGCAGGCCUAACACAUGCAAGUCGAGGGGCAGCACAGAAACAGCAAUGUUUUGGUGGCGACCGGCGGACGGGUGCGUAACGCGUAUGCAACCUACCUUUAACAGGGGGAUAACGGAGAGAAAUUUCCACUAAUACCCCAUAACAUCGAUCAAGGCAUCUUGAUUGGUUGAAAACUCCGGUGGUUAAAGAUGGGCAUGCGUUGUAUUAGGUAGUUGGCGAGGUAAUGGCUCACCAAGCCUACGAUACGUAGGGGGACUGAGAGGUUAGCCCCCCCCACUGGUACUGAGACACGGACCAGACUCCUACGGGAGGCAGCAGUGAGGAAUAUUGGUCAAUGGGGGCAACCUUGAACCAGCCAUGCCGCGUGCAGGAAGACGGCUCUAUGAGUUGUAAACUGCUUUUAAACAGGGAUAAAGCACAGUAUGUAUACUGUGUUGAAGGUACUGUAAGAAUAAGGAUCGGCUAACUCCGUGCCAGCCGCCGCCGUAA